This 1640-nucleotide long non-coding RNA is filed under the name Equus caballus (horse). RNAcentral's name for it is "lncRNA (ENSECAG00000057524.1)". The record is from RNAcentral. Lineage: Eukaryota; Metazoa; Chordata; Mammalia; Perissodactyla; Equidae.
GCCCUCUCCUGCGUUGGGUCGUUUCUGGGAGUGCGCUGCGAACGCUGGGUCUUGGAGGUGGUGGCCUCCGCGGCGCUUGUGGUGUACUAAAAGACAAAAUGCUACUGAUCUACAUUUUAUUGCCAGGUUAAAACGGGAGAAAACUAGGUCCACUAUAAAGCGUCUACUGCCCUAGUUGUCAAUAUUCAGGUGGAGAUAUUAGUCCAGAGCCAAAAGAAAACAACUUCAAACCAACUAUCUUAAUUUAAAAAUAAGUCACUACAGAUAGAGCUCUUUGGAAAGAGAGAGGAUGGGAUUUCAGAUUUGCUGAUGUCGAUUUGCAGAAGAUGAAGGGCUAGAAUCAUGCAUCUGACCUUCAAGAGACUCAUCUUCCAUAGUUGCUGAUCCGCAAGGGAAAUUAUGUACAACUGUGCCAUGGUAGACAGGCAGGCCAUCGCUCUUUGCAGAAGCCUGGCCCUGUGUGCCCGGUGGGGAGGCGGUCCAGCAUGAUGACUGAAAGCACAGACACUGGGUGCUUUCCGGCCGCCUGGGCUCAGACCCUGGCUCCAUCAUUUAUUAGCUAGACUGUUGCUGUUGUCAUUGUCAUUCUUGCUGCUGCCAGCCUUUGCAUGGGCACCUGAAAGAAGCCCUGGGGAAAACUGUUUCUCAGAAAGUGAACAGAAUCUCCCCUGGACCUCCGUCGUCUCAUUGAUGAGACAAAUCCUGAUCCAGGAAAACUUCCGCCUUUUUCUGAUGGCGAAUUUCAUCCAAGCCUUCCAUUGACCUUUCUUCAGUAACUUCAUGGUGAUCUUCGCAGAUAAUCUUGUUCCUGAGGGUGUUCUUCCUUCUUCCAUAAGGAGCAUUGAAGACAGGGCAGGCUGUAUAUGCCCACAGUUAUGUGAUGAUUCUUCGUGUAUCUUCCUACAAGGAUUAAAGAUUUGACUCUUACCUGGCUGAGGAAAUUAAAAACCUGAUUGUAUCAGUAGUUUGAAAAAAUGACACGCAUUUAUUAAGAAAUCCAAAGAUUCAUAGCCUCAGACAUUAUACAAGAUUCAGUAGAAACAUAAUGGAUACAAGAGAUGAAAGGAAAAAGAGGAAGGAGAGGCCAAUGAGGGCUGAACGAUGUGAUAAUUAAACAUUUUAUCUUUUGAAUUUUGUCCCCCUGAGCUUUCUCAUUUAAGCCUCAGCAGAGCUGUGGAAGAAAAUAAAUGGCUUCCUGUGAGCAUGUGGUUUUGCUUUACCUGGGUGUUUAAGAUUCCUGUGACUGUUACAAGGAAGAAGAGUGGCUUGAUCAAGAAUUUGUGAAGCCAGAUUUCAAAACGCUUGGCUGAACGACUGAGUCCUGGAAUUCCAGAGCAUUGUUAAAAUUCCAUGGUCAUGACCACUACUGUAGAGAGCAUGUCCUCCUCCAAAAAAUGUAUCGGCCUGCUGUUUAUUGCACCAUUUGGAGAUUUGAUAAAUCAAAUUGUUCCCCUUAACCUAAAUAUAUCCUCCAAAAAUAUGGCUUAAGCUAGGGCCAGCCCGGUGGUGUAGCAGUUAAGUUCACGUGCUUCAUUCUGACGGCCUCCGGUUUCCUGGUUCAGAUCCCAGGUGCAGACCUAGCACCGCUUAUCAAGCCAUGCUGGAGCAGGCGUCCCACAUAUAAAGUCGAGGAAGAUGGG